RNAcentral lists this ribosomal RNA (406 nucleotides) under uncultured bacterium. Its description in RNAcentral is "partial 16S ribosomal RNA". It matches the Rfam family "Bacterial small subunit ribosomal RNA", at positions 29 to 526 of the family's 1533-position model. The record is from RNAcentral.
AUUGAACGCUGGCGGCAGGCCUAACACAUGCAAGUCGAGCGAGCGGCGGACGGGUGAGUAAUGUCCGGGAAACUGCCUGCUGGAGGGGGAUAACGACUGGAAACGGUAGCUAAUACCGCAUAACAUCAGAUGUGCCCAGAUGGGAUUAGCUAGUAGGUGGGGUAACGGCCUACCUGGGCGACGAUCCCUAGCUGGUCUGAGAGGAUGACCAGCCACACUGGAACGGAGACACGGUCCAGACUCCUACGGGAGGCAGCAGUGGGGAAUAGUGCACAAUGGGCGCAAGCCUGAUGCAGCCAUGCCGCGUGUGUGAAGAAGGCCUUAGGGUUGUAAAGCACUUUCAGCGGGGAGGCGUUACCCGCAGAAGAAGCACCGGCUAACUCCGUGCCAGCAGCCGCGGUAAUUC